GAGCAGGGUUGUAUCAGAGUCACCUCUUUCAUCUGCAAAGGGUGCUUUGUGCGGUCGUGGACAGGAAAGGGAAAUCCUCGUGUCGCGGAGCAGUGAGGGAAGUAGAGCGUAAACCUUUGGAGGAACCUGUCACAGGAAAGAGCUCCUUCUGGAACUGUUCAGCACUCGGUAGGCAACUCGGUGACUGGCUUGAUCUACUUCUGAGGUGCUGAGGCAAGGGGGCUGCUGUUUGAAACGAUAGUAUUGUAAA
Non-coding RNA from Anas platyrhynchos (mallard), 250 nucleotides. The record is from RefSeq and is a predicted model, not a curated record. Lineage: Eukaryota; Metazoa; Chordata; Aves; Anseriformes; Anatidae.